AUGCGAUACUUGGUGUGAAUUGCAGAAUCCCGUGAACCAUCGAGUCUUUGAACGCAAGUUGCGCCCGAAGCCACUAGGCUGAGGGCACGCCUGCCUGGGUGUCACGC
This 107-nucleotide ribosomal RNA is filed under the name Angelica biserrata. RNAcentral's name for it is "partial 5.8S ribosomal RNA". It matches the Rfam family "5.8S ribosomal RNA", at positions 53 to 154 of the family's 154-position model. From Rfam's summary of the family: 5.8S ribosomal RNA (5.8S rRNA) is a component of the large subunit of the eukaryotic ribosome. It is transcribed by RNA polymerase I as part of the 45S precursor that also contains 18S and 28S rRNA. The record is from RNAcentral. Lineage: Eukaryota; Viridiplantae; Streptophyta; Magnoliopsida; Apiales; Apiaceae.